UCCCUAGGAAAACCCACGUUUUACUGCUGAAUCAGAGCAAAUUGCAAUCAUGUUUUCAGCGGGUUGCUAUUUUCUCUGGUUCAGAAGUAAAACACUAGUUUUCCAAGGAA
Podarcis lilfordi (Lilford's wall lizard) is the source of this 110-nucleotide non-coding RNA. The record is from the annotation of a GenBank genome assembly. NCBI's taxonomy places the organism in Eukaryota, Metazoa, Chordata, Lepidosauria, Squamata, Lacertidae.